Molecule: ribosomal RNA, 490 nt
Filed under: uncultured bacterium
Lineage: Bacteria
Description: partial 16S ribosomal RNA
Rfam family: Bacterial small subunit ribosomal RNA
Source: RNAcentral
GAUGAACGCUAGCGAUAGGCUUAACACAUGCAAGUCGAGGGGCAGCAUGGUCUUAGCUUGCUAAGACUGAUGGCGACCGGCGCACGGGUGCGUAACGCGUAUGCAACUUGCCUCACAGAGGGGGAUAACCCGUCGAAAGACGGACUAAUACCGCGUACACUUGGGAUAGGGCAUCCUGACCCAAGGAAAUGAAAUUCGCUGUGAGAUAGGCAUGCGUCCCAUUAGCUAGUUGGUGAGGUAACGGCUCACCAAGGCGACGAUGGGGAGGGGAGCUGAGAGGUUGAACCCCCACACUGGUACUGAGACACGGACCAGACUGCUACGGGAGGCAGCAGUGAGGAAUAUUGGUCAAUGGGCGAGAGCCUGAACCAGCCAAGUCGCGUGAAGGAUGACUGUCUUAUGGAUUGUAAACUUCUUUUAUACGGGAAUAACAAGAGUCACGUGUGGCUCCCUGCAUGUACCGUAUGAAUAAGCAUCGGCUAACUCCGUG